CGGGAUCCCUCGCGGGUGCAC
RNAcentral lists this non-coding RNA (21 nucleotides) under Arabidopsis thaliana (thale cress). Lineage: Eukaryota; Viridiplantae; Streptophyta; Magnoliopsida; Brassicales; Brassicaceae. The record is from RNAcentral.